Molecule: long non-coding RNA, 368 nt
Organism: Mangifera indica (mango)
Lineage: Eukaryota; Viridiplantae; Streptophyta; Magnoliopsida; Sapindales; Anacardiaceae
Exons: 3
Source: RefSeq, a predicted model, not a curated record
UCCCAGAUCCUUCUUUGCCACCUACUUUUUCCAGUUCUUGCGACGGGUUGCAAGAGUUACACGUUCAGGGGGGCGAUGGCUUUGAAACCCUUAUGGUGGACAAGCACGGCGAAGAUUUGAUCAUUCAUCUGAGGUGCCCAUGUAGCAAGGGAUAUAACUUUGCUAUUUCGGUGGGCGAGGAAAACUAUUUGCGGGAGAUGACUUGCGGAUGAGACGAGUUGUUUGGUUUUUGAAGAAGACGAGGGAAGGGAAGAAAACCACAACCAGAAUAAAAGCAACAAUAUUUAGAACAACAAUGCAACUAUGGUUUCUUUUCUUUUGCUGUCUGUCUCCAUGGUGAAAUAAUCAUACUAAGUGUGUAAAUUUAC